Echinops telfairi (small Madagascar hedgehog) is the source of this 957-nucleotide long non-coding RNA. RefSeq lists it as uncharacterized. The transcript is spliced from 3 exons. NCBI's taxonomy places the organism in Eukaryota, Metazoa, Chordata, Mammalia, Afrosoricida, Tenrecidae. The record is from RefSeq and is a predicted model, not a curated record.
UCCGGCGGCUCUGAGGGGAAGGCGAGCCUCGGAGCGAAGAGGAGCCUUUUGGACAGGAGUCCCCAUCCUUUAUACAUCAUUUAGGUCUGAACAGGAUUCCGUGUGAGGCACUAAAAAGAAUAACACAUCAAGUUGAAAAGAGCCCCUAUCAGAGCAACAUGAAUACUGCUAAAAUAGAAAUAAGAAGAAACAUCAAGUUUAUGGUGAAACUUGGAUGGAAGAAUAGUGAAAUCAUUGCUGCUUUACGAAAAGUUUAUGGGGACAAUGCCCCAAAGGAAUCAACGGUUUACAAAUGGGCAGCUCGUUUUAAAAAUGGACGAGACGAUGUUGAAGAUGAAGCCCGUAGUGGCAGGCCAUCCACAUCAAUUUGCAAGGAAAAAAUUAAUCUUGUGCCCUGAUUGAAGAGCAUGGAUGGUGAAAUGCAGAAACAAUAGCUAAUAACGUAGACAUCUCAAUUAAGUCAGCUUAUACACUUCUCACUGAAAAGUUGGGCAAACUUUCUAUUUAAUGGGUUCCAAAGCUAUUGCACUCAGAUCAGCUGCAGGCAAGAGUUUUCAGUGGACAGUUUAUGUACCAGUCGGUUAAAGAUCUGGUUGUAACAAGAUGAAAUGUGGCUUUACCAGUAUUUCCUGAAGACAAAGCACAUUCAAAGGAUAGUUUUCAAGAAGUAGAAGUGGCCCAUUUAAAGCCAAAGCAGACCAUCCAUUCAACAAAGAUCAUGGCCACAAUUUUUUUUGGAUGCUAAAGGCAUUUUGUUCGUAGACUUUUUUGAAGGGCCAAAGAAUAAUAAAAUCUGCUUAUUAUGUGAGUGUUCUAGAAAAGAUAGGCAAAGCUCCAGCACAAAAAUACCGAGAAAGCUUCGCCAGAGUCCUUCACACCAGUGUCUCUGCGUGUUCCUCUCAGCAAGCCAGGGCAAUUUUGUGAGUUUGGAUGAGAAAUGUUUCUUAAUCUUUUUAA